CGAAAGCAGGUCAUAGUGAUCCGGUGGUUCUGAAUGGAAGGGCCAUCGCUCAACGGAUAAAAGGUACUCCGGGGAUAACAGGCUGAUACCGCCCAAGAGUUCAUAUCGACGGCGGUGUUUGGCACCUCGAUGUCGGCUCAUCACAUCCUGGGGCUGAAGUAGGUCCCAAGGGUAUGGCUGUUCGCCAUUUAAAGUGGUACGCGAGCUGGGUUUAGAACGUCGUGAGACAGUUCGGUCCCUAUCUGCCGUGGGCGCUGGAGAACUGAGGGGGGCUGCUCCUAGUACGAGAGGACCGGAGUGGACGCAUCACUGGUGUUCGGGUUGUCAUGCCAAUGGCACUGCCCGGUAGCUAAAUGCGGAAGAGAUAAGUGCUGAAAGCAUCUAAGCACGAAACUUGCC
This 399-nucleotide ribosomal RNA is filed under the name Escherichia coli. Its description in RNAcentral is "partial 23S ribosomal RNA". It matches the Rfam family "Bacterial large subunit ribosomal RNA", at positions 2400 to 2798 of the family's 2925-position model. The record is from RNAcentral. Lineage: Bacteria; Pseudomonadati; Pseudomonadota; Gammaproteobacteria; Enterobacterales; Enterobacteriaceae.